AGUCUUUUAGUUUAUUUAAAAUGUUGAAUUGCAAAUUCAAAGAUAAUUUGUUUAAUGACUU
This 61-nucleotide transfer RNA is filed under the name Ruditapes philippinarum (Manila clam). RNAcentral's name for it is "tRNA-Cys". The record is from RNAcentral. Lineage: Eukaryota; Metazoa; Mollusca; Bivalvia; Venerida; Veneridae.